This is a transfer RNA of 102 nucleotides. It matches the Rfam family "tRNA". From Rfam's summary of the family: Transfer RNA (tRNA) molecules are approximately 80 nucleotides in length. Their secondary structure includes four short double-helical elements and three loops (D, anti-codon, and T loops). Further hydrogen bonds mediate the characteristic L-shaped molecular structure. tRNAs have two regions of fundamental functional importance: the anti-codon, which is responsible for specific mRNA codon recognition, and the 3' end, to which the tRNAs corresponding amino acid is attached (by aminoacyl-tRNA synthetases). tRNAs cope with the degeneracy of the genetic code in two manners: having more than one tRNA (with a specific anti-codon) for a particular amino acid; and 'wobble' base-pairing, i.e. permitting non-standard base-pairing at the 3rd anti-codon position. The record is from Rfam.
GGGCACAUGGUGUAGUUGGUUAUCACAUCCGCUUAGCAUGGUAGUGAAGUAUCCUGUUUAAUUCUAUGCGGGGGGUGCUGGGUUCAAUUCCCAGUGUGUCCA